AUUGAUAGAGCUCUUUCUUGGCAGAACCCUCUUCCCUUGAAGCUUAAUAUAUACACAUAUAUAUUUUCAGACUUAUCCUAGCCAGCAUCCUCCUCCACGCCAUGGGACUUUCAGGAAAAAAUCACCAAAAGAUACUGGGAACCAUAAUCUUCAUCUUGUUGGUUCUCAACUCGAUGGCUCUCGCAACGUCCAGACCGAUGAAAGGUAGAAAGAUUGAUCAAAGUUUUAAGACAGUUGUGUUUGUUGCAGGUCCUGUCCCACCUUCUGCCGCUUCUUCUUGCACCCACAUAGGCAACAAUGGUGGUGCCCCCUGCCAUGGGCCCUGACUGGCGGUGCAACCCAACAACAUUAUGGUCUUUCCCCUAUUCUUGAAAUUGAUUUUUGAUUCGAAUUGGCCCUUUUGGCGAUUCAAAAUAUCAUUUCUCUCAGAUUAUGUAAUUUAAAUAGGAU
Molecule: long non-coding RNA, 450 nt
Filed under: Vitis vinifera (wine grape)
Lineage: Eukaryota; Viridiplantae; Streptophyta; Magnoliopsida; Vitales; Vitaceae
Description: long non-coding RNA (VVIN_LNC002005)
Source: RNAcentral